Drosophila biarmipes is the source of this 1564-nucleotide long non-coding RNA. RefSeq lists it as uncharacterized. The transcript has 2 exons. NCBI's taxonomy places the organism in Eukaryota, Metazoa, Arthropoda, Insecta, Diptera, Drosophilidae. The record is from RefSeq and is a predicted model, not a curated record.
UUGGAAUUCUAAGUCAAAAACAUGCCAACCAGAAACCUAAAUUAAAGUCAAUAAAAAAAUCGCAUCUUAUAUAACCCUCUCACAAAGUAGUGGAUGUAUAGAGAAAAACAGGCAAACAAUUCGAUAUAUUUAUCAGCCAAUCUAAGCUUUCAUCACUUUGGCUAGCAAAAUCAAAACAUUCUGGGAUAUGCACCUUCACAAAAGAGCAGUUUGCUGUAAAAUACCUGUCAAGUGUGACUCCACAUGCUCCAGAGAUCUUAGAGAUCCGUUCAUAUGUUAAUUCAUAUUGAUAAAGUAUCGGAGAGAUCGUAAGCAGAAUUGCCUUUUUUAUUGAAAGCCAUAGGCCUAAGACUUUGUAAUUUACAACGCAUACAGUUAGGGCUCAGUGGCCAUAAUUUAUAUACUUUAUUCGGACUGAAAACAUAUGUACCAACGCCAGUAGAUAUUUCAAGAUUUCGCAUAACUUAUUCAGAGGUCGUGAUUAAAAAUGCAAAAAGUAAGAGGUUGAGAUGAGCAUAAGAUUCCAAUAAAUAUCCGAUGAUAUGGGAGAGCCUGUCACAUUAAUUGUUUUCAGCACGAACACCACACUAAAGAUAGAAAAAUUCCAAUCUCUCUCCAUAUAAAUUUAUAUUAAUAUCAAUGAACUAUGAAUUAAUUAGGCUGCCAUAUGGCGACACGUAUUGAUAAUUUCGCUUAUGUCUUUAUUUACUGAAAAUAAAAUACGAGAAUAACGAGCCGUAUAACGAAGAAUUCUUCUAAAACACUUUGAGCAGACCAAGACAAGACACACCAAGCGCAUCAGAAUGAACUCUUAAUGGGUCCAAUAAAUAACCCCCGAGAAAUUCAAAUAUUUUGCUAAUAUCUCGGGAAAUUAAUUCAUAAUUAGGCAACUUCACGCCACCAUCCACACCGAUAUCCAACUCCCAAUUCCUCUUUGGGAGACAAACAAAAGUGGACAGUGAUUGGAGCAUAAAUUAUGAGCCCCUUCGUUUUCGGGCAGUUUCUGGGUCUUUUCGAACUUAGGACAGACUGGGCUAAGCUGAACUGGACUGGCGGAGUGUGAGAUUACUCAAACAUAUAUUAUACGUGACCUUAUAGGUUCGAACCCGCGACUACGACGCUCGUUCUUCUCGGAUGCGAAAACGCAAUCGAAGGGAACAAAGAACUUGCUGACCGCAGAGCAUGUGGCAUGUGGGACGUUUUGGUGGACCCCGGAUCACAGGGAAUAGGGCAUUGGGCUCGGAUGGAGGGUGGAGAAUAGUAGAAGGGAAUGGGGAUGCUGCGGUUCCAUCUGCAAUCUGCGAGUAACAAGUAAUAAGCAAGCCGCUGUCGUCGCCAUUGGAAUGCUGUUACAAGUAACUGAAGUUCGAACAAAGAGGGCUCGCCGGCCGGUCGGGGAACAAUAAGUGCCAUGCCCCAAGACUGGACCCCGCCCACCUCUUGGAUGUUAUUAAUAUGGCUGGCAAUUUGUCGUCGUAGUCGGUCCACGUUGGUCCACGUCGGUCCACGGAACGAAAUGUCUCUAAAAUAAAAAGCCAAAGCAGCUGAAUCGGUCGCUCUCAAA